This 465-nucleotide ribosomal RNA is filed under the name Vreelandella stevensii. RNAcentral's name for it is "partial 16S ribosomal RNA". It matches the Rfam family "Bacterial small subunit ribosomal RNA", at positions 338 to 795 of the family's 1533-position model. Lineage: Bacteria; Pseudomonadati; Pseudomonadota; Gammaproteobacteria; Oceanospirillales; Halomonadaceae. The record is from RNAcentral.
CCUACGGGCGGCAGCAGUGGGGAAUAUUGGACAAUGGGCGAAAGCCUGAUCCAGCCAUGCCGCGUGUGUGAAGAAGGCCUUCGGGUUGUAAAGCACUUUCAGUGGGGAAGAAAGCCUUGGGGCUAAUACCCUCGAGGAAGGACAUCACCCACAGAAGAAGCACCGGCUAACUCCGUGCCAGCAGCCGCGGUAAUACGGAGGGUGCGAGCGUUAAUCGGAAUUACUGGGCGUAAAGCGCGCGUAGGCGGUCUGAUAAGCCGGUUGUGAAAGCCCCGGGCUCAACCUGGGAACGGCAUCCGGGACUGUCAGGCUAGAGUGCAGGAGAGGAAGGUAGAAUUCCCGGUGUAGCGGUGAAAUGCGUAGAGAUCGGGAGGAAUACCAGUGGCGAAGGCGGCCUUCUGGACUGACACUGACGCUGAGGUGCGAAAGCGUGGGUAGCAAACAGGAUUAGAUACCCGAGUAGUC